Molecule: ribosomal RNA, 405 nt
Filed under: Triticum aestivum (bread wheat)
Lineage: Eukaryota; Viridiplantae; Streptophyta; Magnoliopsida; Poales; Poaceae
Description: partial small subunit ribosomal RNA
Source: RNAcentral
AUGAGAUGUUUCCGAAUACCCAUUUCUACAUGUGAAGGGCUGAGGCAAGCUGUUGCUGUUUAUUGGUGGGGUAGAGAAGAUGGUAAGAGGAAACUUCACUGGCGUUCAUGGGAAUCGUUAUCCACACCAAAAAAGCUUGGUGGACUGGGUUUCCGUGAUUUUUCUCUCUUCAACCACGCUAUGCUUGGUAGACAAUGUUGGAGGCUUCUUACUGAGCCAGAUUCUCUUUGUGCUCAGGUUCUCAAUGGAUGCUAUUCUCCCCACCGUGAUUUUUGGGAUGCGCCUAAUCCGAGGUCAUCAUCCUAUACUUGGAGAAGUAUUUUCUAUGGCCGAGAGCUUGUUAAGGCUGGUGUUCGGUGGGGAAUUGCUAAUGGCGAAAAGGUUAAAAUCAUGACAUAUCACUAG